Molecule: long non-coding RNA, 2105 nt
Filed under: Olea europaea (common olive)
Lineage: Eukaryota; Viridiplantae; Streptophyta; Magnoliopsida; Lamiales; Oleaceae
Description: long non-coding RNA (OEUR_LNC006691)
Source: RNAcentral
UAUUUGUUGGUAAUUUGGACUCUAAUAUCACAGAUGAGCAUCUGAGGCAGAUUUUUGGCCAAUAUGGACAGUUACUUCAUGUAAAAAUACCAGCAGGAAAACGAUGUGGAUUUGUUCAAUUUGCUGGACAUUACCAUUGUUACCUUCUCAUCACACACUUAAUUUAAACACCAAGAAAUCAGUAUGAAGGAUUUAUCAUGUUCUCUGCAUCUGCUAUAACAGAAGCUGUGCUGAGGAAGCUUUACGAAUGUUAAAUGGAACCCAGUUGGGGGGACAAAGCAUUAGACUCUCAUGGGGCCGUAGUCCUUCAAACAAACAGGUACAAAUAAUCUCAUUUUUCGAUUUUCGAUUUUUCCUAUUUUUAGAACAGGUUUAUUAGUUCUCACUAAUGGUGAUUGUAACCAUAGUCAUCUAUUCAAAUUUUCGAGCUCAGGUUGAUCAAAUCCAGUCCAAUGCUGGAUAUUAUGGAUAUGCCCCUGGAUAUGAAACCUAUGGAUAUGCUCAAGCAGCUCAGGAUCCAAAUUUGUACUACGGAGGUUACCAAGGAUAUGGAAACUACCCACCGCCCCCUCAACAACCACCUCAGGUAGAUAUGCCUAUAGAUUUGAUGGGAAAACCCUUUUUACCUGAAAAUCAUUAUUAACAUACUUUGCAUGGGAGGGAGGACUAGUUGAACACUGUACAUUUACAUUUAUGCAAUGCUGAUUAUUGACUAGUUUUCCCAUUUCUUGUUCUUUUUACUUCAUCUUUCAUCAUUAGGAUCAACAGUGGUUUGUUGACACUCCUUCAUAUCAGCUUCAUUGGUACAGAAAUAUGGGUUUGCUCUAUCUUGUGUAUGAGGAGCAAAAAUAGUGGGAUAUUGAUAUAUGUUUUUGUAUUUUGUACGAUGUUAUUGAAACUGGCGAGAAAGUGCCUCUAUCAGCAAGAAGUUAGCUUCUUCACCAUGUCAGAUGCGUAUGUAUGUAUGUGUAUCCAAACACUAGAGAGCAUUGUUCAUUGUCUUUUACUCGUGGCGUUUCUCUACAAAAGAAUCCUAUUAUUAUUAUUAAAAUCCUAUUGAUCUAGCAGUGCCAUAACUUGGGAUCAUAACACCAAACAUAGGAAAUAUAAACACAACAUGAGAUGGAGGCCAUGGAUUUGCAGUACAUUAUUAAAAUCCUUUUGAAAGUUGCACUACCUAGCAGACGUAGCCAAGAAAGAGGAUGAGGAUUUUAAUGUCUCUCUGUUACCCAAAUAUGGAUGCUCAUCCUUGUACAUUUUUUAUACUCAUUAAAUUGUUUGAACGGGCAGCUCCAAGUUUCAGUUUUGCCUAUAGUUAUUAUUUUUUUCACAAACGUGUAUGCAAUCUUCUCUUUGGUCUGAGCUGGCAGCAAGUGGAAUUUUUCUUUUCAAGGUCUUUUUGUCGUCUGCCAUCGUCGUCGCAAGAUUGGUUAGAACUUUGCUUGCUUAACAGUUUCUGAAUUGAGUUUUGUUGAUAUGAAACCAUGGUUUUGAUGAUAAACAUUUUUAUAUUGGCGUUUCCAAAAGUUUAUAUCAUGAUGUACUGCAUUGUUUCAAAAUCUGCUCUUCUUUUGUAUUAAACUAAUAUCAGCACCAGUCGGCUCCUCCUAUCCAACUCCCCUUUCAUUAGCAUUUCCCUCACCUACACUUAUUGUGUAUUUACAGCUUCAUACCAGACUUCUCAAGGAACACAGGGUGAGGAUGACCCUACUAAUACAACUGUGAGUAAUUUUAUUCACAAUAAUUUUGUAUGCUUUCUUUAUCUAAAUAAUUAAGUACUAAUUUAUUUCUUGAUUGCAGAUAUUUGUUGGUAAUUUGGACUCUAAUAUCACAGAUGAGCAUCUGAGGCAGAUUUUUGGCCAAUAUGGACAGUUACUUCAUGUAAAAAUACCAGCAGGAAAACGAUGUGGAUUUGUUCAAUUUGCUGACAGGUAACCUGGACAUUACCAUUGUUACCUUCUCAUCACACACUUAAUUUAAACACCAAGAAAUCAGUAUGAAGGAUUUAUCAUGUUCUCUGCAUCUGCUAUAACAGAAGCUGUGCUGAGGAAGCUUUACGAAUGUUAAAUGGAACCCAGUUGGGGGGACAAAGCAUUAGACUCUCA